GCAUCAAUAGCUCAGUGGUAGAGCGAGAGAUUGCAGAUCUCUAGGUCAUGUGUUCGAUCCACAUUUGGUGCU
Molecule: non-coding RNA, 72 nt
Organism: Dactylonectria macrodidyma
Lineage: Eukaryota; Fungi; Ascomycota; Sordariomycetes; Hypocreales; Nectriaceae
Source: the annotation of a GenBank genome assembly